RNAcentral lists this ribosomal RNA (497 nucleotides) under uncultured bacterium. RNAcentral's name for it is "partial 16S ribosomal RNA". It matches the Rfam family "Bacterial small subunit ribosomal RNA", at positions 28 to 507 of the family's 1533-position model. The record is from RNAcentral.
GAUGAACGCUGGCGGCGUGCCUAAUACAUGCAAGUCGAGCGAACAGACGAGGAGCUUGCUCCUCUGACGUUAGCGGCGGACGGGUGAGUAACACGUGGAUAACCUACCUAUAAGACUGGGAUAACUUCGGGAAACCGGAGCUAAUACCGGAUAAUAUAUUGAACCGCAUGGUUCAAUAGUGAAAUACGGUUUUGCUGUCACUUAUAGAUGGAUCCGCGCCGCAUUAGCUAGUUGGUAAGGUAACGGCUUACCAAGGCAACGAUGCGUAGCCGACCUGAGAGGGUGAUCGGCCACACUGGAACUGAGACACGGUCCAGACUCCUACGAGAGGCAGCAGUAGGGAAUCUUCCGCAAUGGGCGAAAGCUUGACGGAGCAACGCCGCGUGAGUGAUGAAGGUCUUCGGAUCGUAAAACUCUGUUAUUAGGGAAGAACAAAUGUGUAAGUAACUAUGCACGUCUUGACGGUACCUAAUCAGAAAGCCACGGCUAACUACGUG